This 56-nucleotide small RNA is filed under the name Sinorhizobium meliloti 2011. Its description in RNAcentral is "putative ncRNA". Lineage: Bacteria; Pseudomonadati; Pseudomonadota; Alphaproteobacteria; Hyphomicrobiales; Rhizobiaceae. The record is from RNAcentral.
ACAAGUACGGCGCCCGAUUCGGAGGAGCGGAGACUGGAUCGGGCAGAAAAUUCGUC